GAACUGCCCUGCACUUUGCCUGUGUCUAUGGCCAUCCAGAGGUGGUAACUCUCCUGGUGAAGAGCAGCUGUGAGAUUAGUCCAAAAGACAUCAAAGGGGCCACACCUCUAAUUAAGGCUGUGCAGUGCAGACACAUAGAAUGCCUGGCUAUCCUGUUGGAGCACGGCGCCGAUCCAAACCUCAUGGACUGUUGUGACAACACCGCGCUGCACUAUGCCGUCUACAACGGAGACGUUGCCAUAGCCACGACGCUGCUCGACCACCACGCAAACAUCGAGGCAAUAAAUGAGAACAAGAUAACACCACUUUUGCUUGCUCUGAAACAAAAUAAGGAGAAGAUGGCAGAAUUCUUAAUCAACAAGGGUGCAAAUGUGAAAACAUGUGAUUUCCUGGGAAG
Molecule: long non-coding RNA, 397 nt
Organism: Meriones unguiculatus (Mongolian gerbil)
Lineage: Eukaryota; Metazoa; Chordata; Mammalia; Rodentia; Muridae
Exons: 3
Source: RefSeq, a predicted model, not a curated record